This 828-nucleotide long non-coding RNA is filed under the name Capsicum annuum. RNAcentral describes it as "long non-coding RNA (CANN_LNC005267)". Lineage: Eukaryota; Viridiplantae; Streptophyta; Magnoliopsida; Solanales; Solanaceae. The record is from RNAcentral.
CCGAAUUAAUCGAAUGCCCACCCCUAGUUACACAUGUCGGCAACAUUACUACUACGACACUUUCACUUAGAAGUAUGGAGAUAAAACCAUGGUUUCUAUCUGUUGAAUACUGUUAGUUUAUUCCAUUAAUUGCUUCUAUUACUUGGCAUUUAACUGUUAGCAUCAUCACUUACUUUGAAGCAGUGACUCUUUUAUGACUUCAUUACUACAUUUUCAGGUGGAUUAGAUAUUGAUUGCGUUCCGAAAGCUUCUUGCUUGAUCUCUAAAGAGGAACAAAACUGUGAACAACAGUAAGGAAGUGGUAGGAAACAUUGGGAAGGCACAUGAUGGAGUUAUAUAUUCCUUGGUGUCUGAACUAGGAAACCAUGCUUUCGAGAUCUGACUGGGGUUACCACUAUCUUUGAGAACUUGAUUUGAAACACUACAAUUGGUGUCCUCCUAUGUCACGACCCAAAAUUAAUAGGUCAUGAUGACACUUGUCACUGCGUACCUUGACAAGUAAGCCUAUCAGCCCAAAUGAUACACGAAGGAAAAAAUACAUAAAUACCCCCAAAGAAAGGCUUCUAAAAUAAAGCAACCAUACAAGUAUAAUAACUGUGGAAAUAAGCAUAAAAAUACAGCCAUAACUCUCAAAAGUUGGUGUCAACUGUAGAGAAUAGCAGAAGAAAAGUAUAGUUGGUGAGACCUUCUGCUAGCUCAAGAUCGUUAGCUAAAAUCGGAAGAUUCAACUAAAAAGAGGAAGAUAUGAAAGUAAAAGGAAGAUAUUGGACAAGAGAACUUGGGUAAAGAAGAAGACUACUUGAAUUUAGAAGACUACUUGAAUUGAUU